This 253-nucleotide ribosomal RNA is filed under the name uncultured bacterium. RNAcentral's name for it is "partial 16S ribosomal RNA". It matches the Rfam family "Bacterial small subunit ribosomal RNA", at positions 524 to 776 of the family's 1533-position model. The record is from RNAcentral.
UACGUAGGGAGCUAGCGUUGUCCGGAAUCAUUGGGCGUAAAGCGCGCGUAGGCGGCCCGGUAAGUCCGCUGUGAAAGUCAAAGGCUCAACCUUUGAAUGUCAGCGGAUACUGCCGGGCUAGAGUCCGGAAGAGGCGAGUGGAACUCCUGGUGUAGCGGUGGAAUGCGCAGAUAUCAGGACGAACACCAACGGCGAAGGCAGCUCGCUGGGACGGAACUGACGCUAAGGCGCGAAAGCGUGGGGAGCGAACAGG